AGAGUUUGAUCAUGGCUCAGGAUGAACGCUAGCUACAGGCUUAACACAUGCAAGUCGAGGGGAAACGACAUCGAAAGCUUGCUUUUGAUGGGCGUCGACCGGCGCACAGGUGAGUAACGCGUAUCCAACCUGCCCACCACUUGGGGAUAACCUUGCGAAAGUAAGACUAAUACCCAAUGACGUCUCUAGAAGACAUCUGAAAGAGAUUAAAGAUUUAUCGGUGAUGGAUGGGGAUGCGUCUGAUUAGCUUGUUGGCGGGGUAACGGCCACCAAGGCGACGAUCAGUAGGGGUUCUGAGAGGAAGGUCCCCCANAUUGGAACUGAGACACGGUCCAAACGUCCGUACGGGAGGCA
RNAcentral lists this ribosomal RNA (354 nucleotides) under uncultured bacterium. RNAcentral's name for it is "bacterial SSU rRNA". It matches the Rfam family "Bacterial small subunit ribosomal RNA", at positions 8 to 350 of the family's 1533-position model. The record is from RNAcentral.